RNAcentral lists this ribosomal RNA (465 nucleotides) under Vreelandella stevensii. RNAcentral describes it as "partial 16S ribosomal RNA". It matches the Rfam family "Bacterial small subunit ribosomal RNA", at positions 338 to 795 of the family's 1533-position model. The record is from RNAcentral. Lineage: Bacteria; Pseudomonadati; Pseudomonadota; Gammaproteobacteria; Oceanospirillales; Halomonadaceae.
CCUACGGGAGGCUGCAGUGGGGAAUAUUGGACAAUGGGGGCAACCCUGAUCCAGCCAUGCCGCGUGUGUGAAGAAGGCCCUCGGGUUGUAAAGCACUUUCAGUGAGGAAGAACGCCUGGUGGUUAAUACCCAUCAGGAAAGACAUCACUCACAGAAGAAGCACCGGCUAACUCCGUGCCAGCAGCCGCGGUAAUACGGAGGGUGCGAGCGUUAAUCGGAAUUACUGGGCGUAAAGCGCGCGUAGGUGGCUUGAUAAGCCGGUUGUGAAAGCCCCGGGCUCAACCUGGGAACGGCAUCCGGAACUGUCAAGCUAGAGUGAAGGAGAGGAAGGUAGAAUUCCCGGUGUAGCGGUGAAAUGCGUAGAGAUCGGGAGGAAUACCAGUGGCGAAGGCGGCCUUCUGGACUGACACUGACACUGAGGUGCGAAAGCGUGGGUAGCAAACAGGAUUAGAUACCCUGGUAGUC